CAUCGGUGGACAGGUGGUGCAUGGUUGUCGUCAGCUCGUGUCGUGAGAUGUUGGUUAAGUCCGCAACGAGCGCAACCCCUAUUGUUAGUUGCCAUCAUUCAGUUGGGCACUCUAGCGAGACUGCCGGUAAUAAACCGGAGGAAGGUGGGGAUGACGUCAAAUCAUCAUGCCCUUAUGACCUGGGCUACACACGUGCUACAAUGGUUGGUACAACGAGUUGCGAGUCGGUGACGGCGAGCUAAUCUCUUAAAGCCAAUCUCAGUUCGGAUUGUAGGCUGCAACUCGCCUACAUGAAGUCGGAAUCGCUAGUAAUCGCGGAUCAGCACGCCGCGGUGAAUACGUUCCCGGGCCUU
Molecule: ribosomal RNA, 353 nt
Filed under: uncultured Streptococcus sp.
Lineage: Bacteria; Bacillati; Bacillota; Bacilli; Lactobacillales; Streptococcaceae
Description: bacterial SSU rRNA
Rfam family: Bacterial small subunit ribosomal RNA
Source: RNAcentral